RNAcentral lists this ribosomal RNA (882 nucleotides) under uncultured bacterium. RNAcentral describes it as "bacterial SSU rRNA". It matches the Rfam family "Bacterial small subunit ribosomal RNA", at positions 610 to 1505 of the family's 1533-position model. The record is from RNAcentral.
CAACCCGGGCCGGCCGUUGAAACUGGGGAUCUUGAGUGGGCGAGAAGUAUGCGGAAUGCGUGGUGUAGUGGUGAAAUGCAUAGAUAUCACGCAGAACUCCGAUUGCGAAGGCAGCAUACCGGCGCCCGACUGACGCUGAGGCACGAAAGCGUGGGGAUCGAACAGGAUUAGAUACCCUGGUAGUCCACGCAGUAAACGAUGAAUGCUAGUUGUCCGGUUCUUUGGGACUGGGUGACACAGCGAAAGCGUUAAGCAUUCCACCUGGGGAGUACGCCGGCAACGGUGAAACUCAAAGGAAUUGACGGGGGCCCGCACAAGCGGAGGAACAUGUGGUUUAAUUCGAUGAUACGCGAGGAACCUUACCCGGGCUCAAACGGGAGAUGACGCGGGCAGAGACGCCCGUUUCUUAGGACAUCUUCCGAGGUGCUGCAUGGUUGUCGUCAGCUCGUGCCGUGAGGUGUCGGCUUAAGUGCCAUAACGAGCGCAACCCCUGCCGACAGUUGCUAACGCGUUGAGGCGAGGACUCUGUCGGGACUGCCGGCGCAAGCCGCGAGGAAGGCGGGGAUGACGUCAAAUCAGCACGGCCCUUACGUCCGGGGCGACACACGUGUUACAAUGGGGGGUACAGCGGGAAGCCAGGCGGCGACGCCGAGCGGAACCCGAAAGCCUCUCUCAGUUCGGAUCGGAGUCUGCAACCCGACUCCGUGAAGCUGGAUUCGCUAGUAAUCGCGCAUCAGCCAUGGCGCGGUGAAUACGUUCCCGGGCCUUGUACACACCGCCCGUCAAGCCAUGGAAGCCGGGGGUGCCUGAAGUGCGCUGCCGCAAGGAGCGCCCUAGGGUAAAACCGGUGACUGGGGCUAAGUCGUAACAAGGUAACCGUAA